GCAAGUCGAACGGAAAGGCCCUUCUGGGUACUCGAGUGGCGAACGGGUGAGUAACACGUGGGCAACCUGCACCUGCUCUGGGAUAACACCGGGAAACCGGUGCUAAUACCGGAUACACACUUUCUGAGGCAUCUCAGGUGGUGGAAAGUUUUUCGGCUAGGGAUGGGCCCGCGGCCUAUCAGCUUGUUGGUGGGGUAAUGGCCUACCAAGGCGACGACGGGUAGGCGGCCUGAGAGGGCGACC
This 243-nucleotide ribosomal RNA is filed under the name uncultured bacterium. RNAcentral's name for it is "partial 16S ribosomal RNA". It matches the Rfam family "Bacterial small subunit ribosomal RNA", at positions 57 to 305 of the family's 1533-position model. The record is from RNAcentral.